AAGGGCACCACAAGAACGCGUGGAGCAUGUGGCUUAAUUUGACUCAACGCGGGAAAUCUUACCGGGUCCGGACACACUGAGGAUUGACAGGCAAUAUUAAUUUCUGUACUUUCGGGUGCGUUAUUAUGUUAAAUAUGCUAGUCCUUUCAUGAUUAUGUGAUAGGUGGUGCAUGGCCGUUCUUAGUUCGUGGAGUGAUCUGUCUGCUUAAUUGCGUUUCACUAAGGGCCUAUAAAUUUACGUGUGUUGCGGCACUUUGACCCCUCUUUUAUUAGAGCGCGCGUCUUAGUUUGCUUAGCUCACACAAUUAGGCUCUGAAAGCAACGGACGUGACCGCAACCUCUUGUUGCCUUUAUACCAAACAUGAUGUAUUUUGAUCUCUUUCGGGAGUGACUGAGUCUCAUGAAAAAAGGCUUUUUAAACUAGAGGGACCGCUGUUACUUUCUUAAACCAGAGGAAGGUUGCGGCAAUAACAGGUCUGUGAUGCCCUUAGAUGUUCCGGGCUGCACACGUGCUACAAUGAUUAUUGCAGUGAGCAUCUCAUUUUUUACACACCGCAUACGCGAGUCCAUUUAUUCACUCUCGGGUGCUUUAAAUGUGUAUCUCUGCGAGCGGUAAAGCCUGCUUCGAAAGUAAGUGGGUAAUCAAUUAGAAGUAAUGAUUUCCUUUUUUUUCAGCACACAUAUAUACGGCGUUUAUACCCGGGCUGCCUUGUUGUAGCUUUUGUGCGUAUAGAUGUUUUUUCCGUAUGUGCGAUUGUCAAUUCAUGGUGGGGACAGACCAUUGUUAAUUGUUGGUCUCGGUCUUAACUAGGAAUGCCUUGUACGGGUCUUUGGUUCAACAAACCACCCGGAAUACGUCCCUGCCCUUUGUACACACCGCCCGUCGCUCUUACCGAUGGACUUCUCUGUGAGUUUGAGGGACUGGGAACGCAUAGAUUUUAUCUAACGCACACCUAUGGAAACUUAAACGAACAGUGUGGUCUAAAGGAAAGAGAAGUCGAACAAGGCAUCGGUAGGUGAACCUGCAGAAGGAUCA
RNAcentral lists this ribosomal RNA (1036 nucleotides) under Epistominella exigua. RNAcentral describes it as "bacterial SSU rRNA". It matches the Rfam family "Eukaryotic small subunit ribosomal RNA", at positions 1160 to 1828 of the family's 1831-position model. Lineage: Eukaryota; Foraminifera; Rotaliida; Pseudoparrellidae. The record is from RNAcentral. RNAcentral also lists the same sequence under 1 other name.